AUGCUAUUACAUGGGCCUAAACUU
RNAcentral lists this non-coding RNA (24 nucleotides) under Arabidopsis thaliana (thale cress). The record is from RNAcentral. Lineage: Eukaryota; Viridiplantae; Streptophyta; Magnoliopsida; Brassicales; Brassicaceae.